CAUGUGAAUUGAAACAUCUUAGUAACAUGAGGAAUAUAAAUCAAAUGAGAUUCUGUAAGUAGUGGUGAGCGAAAAUGGAAAACCCCAAAAUAAUAAAAGAUCAUAAAAUUUAUGAUAAAAUUCUUUUGAAAAUUAAUUAUCAGAUAAUAUUAUCUGUAAUUAAACCAAAGCGGGUAAUAGUCCUUUAAAAAGAAUAAAAAAAAAGAGUAGAAGGAAACACGAGAAAUUUUCUUUGAAUAGGGUGGACCCCCAUCCAAGGGUAAAUAUAAAUUUAAAUACCGAUAGUGAACAAGUACCGUGAGGGAAAGUCUGAGAGAGAACCUAUAAUGGGAGUGAAAAGAUCAGAAAAUUCAAUGUUUAUUAGCAGUUGAAGCUAAAAAAGCGCCAACGUACCUUGUGUAUAAUGGGUCAGCAAGUUAAUAAAUUAAGCGAGUUUAAACUAAAAAGUGUAGACGUAGCGAAAGCAAGUAAUAAUAAGCAAAAGUUUAAUUUAUUAGACCCGAAACUGAGUGAUCUAGUCGUGAACAGUCUGAAUUUUAAUGAAAAUUAAAAGGAGGGACGAACCCGUGAAUGUGGCAAUAUUCUGGGAAGAUUUGCGAUUAGGGGUGAAAGGCCAAUCAAACUCAGAAAUAGCUGGUUUUCCGCGAAAGCUAUCUAAGUAGUGUAGUAAUAAAAUUUCAUAAAAGGUAAAGCACUGAAUAGGCUAGGGGCUUCCAAUGGGAGCUACCAAACCUAAUCAAACUUAGAAUGGGAAUGAAAAAUAAUUACUAGUCGGACUUAAGGCGAGAAGGUCUUAAGUCAAAAGGGAAAAAGCCCAGAUUAGAAGCUAAGGUCUCUAAUUAGAGCUAAGUGUGGAAGGUAGUAAAGAAUUUUUUAUAAAAAUUUUAAAGAUUUUAACAACAAUGAAGUAGGCUUGGAAACAGCCAUCAUUUUAAAGAAAACGUAACAGUUCAUUUGAUUAAUCUUUUUGCACCUAAAAUUAAGGAGGCUAAGCUCUAAACCAAAGCUCUAAAUUUCAGUAAUACUGGAAUGGUAGCGGAACGUCAUGUACUUACAGCUUAAAAUUUUUUUGUAAAAAAAAAUAAAAAACUGCUGCAUCAUGAGUGAUAAUGCUGACACGAGUAAUAUAAAAGAAGUCUCUUUUAAAAGAGAAAACUCUUCUUCACCUUAAGUCCAAGGUUUUCAACGCUCUGAUUUACAACGUUGAGUUAUAUAGUCCCUAAGAAAAAGGCGAAAGCUUUAUUUAAUGGGUAGUAUUAGAAUGACGUAUAAGAAAUAAAAAAAUUAUAAAAUUAAAGCCAUUAUAACUUAGAAAUUUUUAUACCUGGAAAUAAUUCUAAUUAUUUUUACUAUACCUUAAACUAACACAAGUGGACUAGUAGAGUAUACUAAGGUGAAAACAUAACGAUCUUUAAGGAACUCGGCAAAUUAUCUCCGUACGUUAGCAAUAAGGAGAGUGGAUGUGCCUUCUGAUUAAAUUUUCGAAUUUAUCAUGGGGUAUGUCCAUUGCAAAAAAUAGGGGGUAUCGACUGUUUACCAAAAACACAGCAUUCUGCUAACACGUAAGUGGAUGUAUAGGAUGUGACGCUUGUCCGAUGAUAGUAUCCUAAAUCAAUUGGUAAUAAGCUAAUUGUAUAAAGACUAUUCAAUGACCGCGGUAACCAUGACCGUGCGAAGGUAGCGAAAUUCCUUGGCUAGUAAGUUUAGUCCCGCACGAAUAGCGUAACGAAUGCCCCACUGUCUCAAAGAUCAUGUUUAUGAAAAUGAAAUAGCCGUGCAGAUGCGGUUUUGAAGUAGGAAGACGAGAAGACCCUAUAAAUCUU
RNAcentral lists this ribosomal RNA (1823 nucleotides) under wastewater metagenome. Its description in RNAcentral is "bacterial LSU rRNA". It matches the Rfam family "Bacterial large subunit ribosomal RNA", at positions 185 to 2101 of the family's 2925-position model. The record is from RNAcentral.